UUUAUCCACAGAUCUCCCCUGGCGGACUGAACAAACGAGUCGACUCUACGCCUGUCCUCAGUCUAAUUGUGGUCUGACGGCACUCCCCGACAUCAAAGCUCUCCGUUACUCUUGCUGUCUCAUCCUUCUUCUAAGAGUGGGGGAUGUCUGUUUUCUAACACCUUUCGGCCUGCUUAUCUACUCGAUCUGUACACCUGCGACCAACACUGGACAUGGAGGACUAUGACGUUCGCUCGGCCGCCAGCAUCAUGGCCUCGGUGAAAGAGCAGGAGGCGCGUUUCGAGCAGCUGACCCGAGCCCUCGAGGAGGAGCGUCGCAAUGUCACCCUGCAGCUAGACCGCUCCGCCCUGCCUCCCAACACCCCAACCAGCCAGCCGCUAGCAUGGCAGCAGGUGGUGA
This is a long non-coding RNA of Notothenia coriiceps (black rockcod), 399 nucleotides long. RefSeq lists it as uncharacterized. The record is from RefSeq and is a predicted model, not a curated record. The transcript is spliced from 3 exons. NCBI's taxonomy places the organism in Eukaryota, Metazoa, Chordata, Actinopteri, Perciformes, Nototheniidae.